This 464-nucleotide ribosomal RNA is filed under the name uncultured bacterium. RNAcentral describes it as "partial 16S ribosomal RNA". It matches the Rfam family "Bacterial small subunit ribosomal RNA", at positions 29 to 507 of the family's 1533-position model. The record is from RNAcentral.
ACGAACGCUGGCGGCGUGCUUAACACAUGCAAGUCGAACGGAAAGGCCCCUUUGGGGGUACUCGAGUGGCGAACGGGUGAGUAACACGUGAGUAACCUGCCCUUGACUUCGGGUUAACUUCAGGAAACUGGGGCUAAUCCCGGAUAGGAAUCCUUGCUGCAUGGCGGGGGUUGGAAAGCUUCGGCGGGUUUGGUUGGACUCGCGGCUUAUCAGCUUGGUUGGGGGGUAGUGGCUUACCAAGGCUUUGCCGGGUAGCCGGCCUGAGAGGGGGACCGGCCACAGUGGGACUGAGAUACGGCCCAGACUCCUACGGGAGGCAGCAGUGGGGAAGAUUGCACAAUGGGCGGAAGCCUGAUGCAGCAACGCCGCGGGCGGGAUGACGGGCUUCGGGUUGGAAACCGCUUUCAGCAGGGGCGAAGCUUGUGGUGACGGUACCUGCAGAAGAAGCACCGGCUAACUACGUG